RNAcentral lists this ribosomal RNA (301 nucleotides) under uncultured bacterium. RNAcentral's name for it is "partial 16S ribosomal RNA". It matches the Rfam family "Bacterial small subunit ribosomal RNA", at positions 509 to 807 of the family's 1533-position model. The record is from RNAcentral.
CAGUCGCCGCGGUAAAACGAAGGGUCCAAGCGUUACUCGGAAUUACUGGGCGUAAAGCGUGCGUAGGUGGUUGUUUAAGUCUGCUGUGAAAGCCCUGGGCUCAACCUGGGAAUUGCAGUGGAUACUGGGCGACUAGAGCAAGGUAGAGGAUAGUGGAAUUUCCGGUGUAGCAGUGAAAUGCGUAGAGAUCGGAAGGAACAUCUGUGGCGAAGGCGACUAUCUGGGCCAUUACUGACACUGAGGCACGAAAGCGUGGGGAGCAAACAGGAUUAGAUACCCCUGUAGUCCCUGUCUCUUAUAC